UUUCCUAUUUUCCUAUAUUGUUCGUAAUUUAUUGUAUUACUUUAUGUUUCAAAUAUAUUAUUGAUCAAGAAAAUAAAAAUAUAAUGUAGUUAUUCAGAAAUCAAUGAGAAUAAAAAUAAUCAUGCAUUAUUUUGGAGGAGGGAGAAGUAUGAGUCGGAUGACAAAAAUCAUGAAAAUAGGAAAAAGUGUGUCAUAUUCUAAAGUUGAGGGUUUAUUUCACAGAAUUUGUAGUUGAGGGUUUUUUUAACGAUUCAUCUUUAGUUGAGGGGUUUAAUUACUAAAAAUCCAAUUAUUAAAACUGAAGUACAAAAUAGGUUUGUUUGGAAACAUGAAUUACAGUUUAAAAAGAUUGUUUGUUUGGAAACAUGGAU
This 371-nucleotide long non-coding RNA is filed under the name Brassica rapa (field mustard). RNAcentral's name for it is "long non-coding RNA (BRAP_LNC004175)". The record is from RNAcentral. Lineage: Eukaryota; Viridiplantae; Streptophyta; Magnoliopsida; Brassicales; Brassicaceae.